Molecule: ribosomal RNA, 252 nt
Filed under: uncultured prokaryote
Description: partial 16S rRNA
Rfam family: Bacterial small subunit ribosomal RNA
Source: RNAcentral
ACGUAGGGUGCAAGCAUUAUCCGGAUUUAUUGGGCGUAAAGCGUCCGUCGGCGUUUUAUUAAGUUUUAACUUUAAUACUGGAGCUUAACUCCAGAUACAGGUUAAAAUACUGGUAGAAUUGAGUUUACUAGGGGGAGCUGGAAUUCUCGGUGGAGGGGUGAAAUCCGUAGAUAUCGAGAGGAACACCAUUAGCGAAGGCGGGCUCCUGGAGUAUAACUGACGCUCAGGGACGAAAGUCUGGGUAGCAAAAGG